RNAcentral lists this small nucleolar RNA (107 nucleotides) under Cephalotus follicularis. RNAcentral describes it as "Plant small nucleolar RNA R71". It matches the Rfam family "Plant small nucleolar RNA R71". From Rfam's summary of the family: R71 is a member of the C/D box family of snoRNAs containing the C (UGAUGA) and D (CUGA) box motifs. Multiple nearly identical copies of this snoRNA have been identified in Arabidopsis, and it is thought to function as a 2'-O-ribose methylation guide for 18S ribosomal RNA. Lineage: Eukaryota; Viridiplantae; Streptophyta; Magnoliopsida; Oxalidales; Cephalotaceae. The record is from Rfam by way of RNAcentral.
AAACCAUGAUGAGGACACUCUAAGAGAAGAUCCUUAAAACGUUCCAUACACCUAGAAAAUGAUUCAUUGGGUUUUUGUGGAAACUGGAGAAUGUCGUUCCUAAGUUU